UACGUAGGGUGCGAGCGUUAAUCGGAAUUACUGGGCGUAAAGCGUGCGCAGGCGGUUUUGUAAGCCAGAUGUGAAAGCCCCGGGCUUAACCUGGGAAUGGCAUUUGGGACUGCAAGGCUGGAGUGUGGCAGAGGAGACUGGAAUUCCUGGUGUAGCAGUGAAAUGCGUAGAUAUCAGGAGGAAUACCGAUGGCGAAGGCAGGUCUCUGGGCUGACACUGACGCUCAUGCACGAAAGCGUGGGGAGCAACGAGGAUACGAAACCG
Molecule: ribosomal RNA, 264 nt
Filed under: uncultured bacterium
Lineage: Bacteria
Description: partial 16S ribosomal RNA
Rfam family: Bacterial small subunit ribosomal RNA
Source: RNAcentral